UCGAGGCCCGAACGGAAAAUCGUGAACCAGUCAACCCCCUGUGAGGGCGGAGGGGGCGCCAUGGUGCGCCUUCCCCCCGCCCUCGUCGGGGGCCCCUAGGUGCACCCGCCUCGCCUUGUCGCGGGGCGGGGACGCCGAACAUGACCCGGGCGCGUUGGGCGCCAAGGAACAGUGCUUUUCGGGAGAGCGUCGUCCGCCUUUGCCGCCUCGGCGGAGGGGGCGGACGGGGUGAUCCUGUAACAAUUGAACU
Molecule: unclassified non-coding RNA, 250 nt
Filed under: Lachenalia unifolia
Lineage: Eukaryota; Viridiplantae; Streptophyta; Magnoliopsida; Asparagales; Asparagaceae
Source: RNAcentral